AUUAGCGCGACGAACUUACCCAUGUUCGCGUCACUUGCUUAGGUUAGCAGAAAGGAUGCAGGAUGGGCAGCGCCCGUGCGCGUCGUGGAAUCCGUAAUUACAGCUGCCGUCUCUCACUAAUUAUCACACGUCCCACGGCCGCGGCAACGAAGGAUAUCCCACUAAUCCCACUUAACGCUCGCAAUUGCUGGGCGCAAGACAGAGAAGGCGAAUCGAACUGGGGGAUUCCAGCGAGUUCUUGUUCCACUAGCUAUAUAUUUGUCCGUAUGCUUGCAGAAUCGCGAUCUCUGUGUUCGCCGAGUACUGUCGCUGGCUUGUUUACCAUCUGUCAAAGUCACUUCGGGAGACGGCGCACCGAUGAACUGCGCGAUCGAUCACCUGCGAAGGGUCCUUGGCUUCAUAAACGAUCCUCUUGCACUUCGACGAUCUUAUCAAUUUUAUCACGUACGCGCGUGUGAGCGUUGGAUCUCACGGGGAACUUCCACAGGGUAUUAUCGACAAGAGACGACUCAACAUGGCGCGCGUCCGUUACGUUCUGUACGGUGAAUGGGAUCGUUGCUCCCGCGACGAACGUAGGGCGCGCCGUAGUAAGCGCUCGUCAAAUCCGUCAUUCCCUUCAAUGGAGCGGGGGCUCGGUGGGAGCAACGGUGACCGGCUAUGACCCCGAUUCGAUCGAGGAGUCGCAGACGAAAGGAUUGCAGGAAGAUACAGGAAAAGGAGGGACCUGCUGUAAUAUUCUUUGAAAAUUGAAAUUGUCUAUUUUCAUGGUUACUUAGUUUAUUACAAAUUCGUUUCUUAUUACUGUUCGGCGAGACGAAACAGCGAGACGAAAAAUUAUAUGAUUUAAAAAUAUUAAUAAUCUUUUAUAAAUAAAAAUAACAAUAUACCUGUAUAAUUAAUUUGUCACUUUGAGAAUUAGGAGAUACUGGAUUCCACAGAAUGCUUCUUUAUAUAUUGCAAAUAAUGGAAAAAUUCUCAAUUUAAAUCCACUCUUACAAGAAUUAUUCUCAAAAAUUUUCCUUAUAUACAUGUAUUUGUAUCAACAAUUGCUUCUCGUCUUCUUUCUAUAAAAAUAAAUAUCGAAUUUAAAAAAUA
Solenopsis invicta (red fire ant) is the source of this 1095-nucleotide long non-coding RNA. RefSeq lists it as uncharacterized. The transcript has 2 exons. The record is from RefSeq and is a predicted model, not a curated record. Lineage: Eukaryota; Metazoa; Arthropoda; Insecta; Hymenoptera; Formicidae.